CUGACAGCACUAGAGAAUGAAGUCUUACUUAACCAAAGAACAGGUCUGACAUGGACAACAGCAGUGCAAGUUCCCCUAUACCAAAUGUAGCUCCAACCUGCCACGGAGAAGCCCACUCUAGAGAUCAGAGGAGUUCAGUCUCCAAAUCUAUUGGAGUCUUUGUGCCC
This 167-nucleotide small RNA is filed under the name Chrysemys picta bellii (western painted turtle). Its description in RNAcentral is "TUC338 (ENSCPBG00000015932.1)". Lineage: Eukaryota; Metazoa; Chordata; Testudines; Emydidae. The record is from RNAcentral.